RNAcentral lists this long non-coding RNA (308 nucleotides) under Androctonus crassicauda. The record is from RNAcentral. Lineage: Eukaryota; Metazoa; Arthropoda; Arachnida; Scorpiones; Buthidae.
CUCUUGGCUUCCUGUGUACAUCUCCUUUUGUUUUCACAUUCCUAAAUUGCUUUUGUUUCCAUGUCCUCUCGUGCAAUGCGACGUGUUUCCAUGGUGUUGGUAUGUCUAUUGAUUGUCUGUCAUAGAUGGCAGUUCCUUGUUUGCUCCCUUGUGGAGUGCUUGGCGCCUCGGCUGCCGGCAACUCUCUUUUGUCUCUUGCCGUUUUGCAUAUUUUUGCUUCCUCCCAUUUUGUUCUUGUGUCAUGCUCAUGCGCUCUUCGUGUCAGGGCCGUGGUUUGUAUUCCCUUUCUUAUAUCAUUUUGAAAACUA